AUACGGAGGGUGCAAGCGUUGUCGGGAUUUAUUGGGUUUAAAGGGUGCGUAGGCGGGUAUAUAAGUCAGUGGGGAAAUCCUACAGCUCAACUGUAGAUGUGCCAUUGAAACUGUAUACCUUGAGUACAGAUGAGGUAGGCGGAAUUUAUGGUGUAGCGGUGAAAUGCAUAGAUACCAUAAAGAACACCGAUAGCGAAGGCAGCUUACUGGACUGUAACUGACGCUGAUGCACGAAAGCAUGGGUAGCGAACAGGAUUAGAAACCCGAGUAGUCC
RNAcentral lists this ribosomal RNA (274 nucleotides) under uncultured bacterium. Its description in RNAcentral is "partial 16S ribosomal RNA". It matches the Rfam family "Bacterial small subunit ribosomal RNA", at positions 523 to 796 of the family's 1533-position model. The record is from RNAcentral.